Molecule: long non-coding RNA, 1243 nt
Filed under: Zonotrichia albicollis (white-throated sparrow)
Lineage: Eukaryota; Metazoa; Chordata; Aves; Passeriformes; Passerellidae
Description: lncRNA (ENSZALG00000000391.1)
Source: RNAcentral
AUCCAGGUGUGUCGCUGAGUUCCCAGGUGUGUCCCUCACCUGCCCAGGUGUGUCCCAGCCUCACCCAGAUGUGUCCCAGCCCUGCCCAGGUGUGUCCCUCACCUAUCCAGGUGUGUCCCUGAGUUCUCAGGUGUGUCCCUGUCCCAUUUCUCACCCAUCCAGGUGUGCCCCUGCCCCACCCAGGUGUGUCUCUGGGUUCCCAGGUGUGUCCCAGCCCUAUUUCUCACUUGCCCAGGUGUGUCCCUGAGUUCUCAGGUGUGUCCCCGAGUUCCCAGGUGUGUCCCAGCCCCGCCUAGGUGUGUCCCAGCCCUAUCCAGGUGUGUCCCUCACCCACCCAGGUGUGUCCCUGUCCCAUUUCUCACCUGUCCAGGUGUGUCCCUGAAUUCCCAGGUGUGUCCCUGUCCUAUCCAGGUGUGUCCCAGCCCUAUUUCUCAACUGCCCAGGUGUGUCCCUCACCUGUCCAGGUGUAUCCCAGCCCCACCCAGGUGUGUCCCUGUCCCAUUUCUCACCUGUCCAGGUGUGUCCCUGAGUUCUCAGGUGUGUCCUUGUCCCAUUUCUCACCCACCCAGGUGUGUCCCAGCCCUAUUUCUCACCCGCCCAGGUGUGUCCCAGCCCCACCCAGGUGUGUCCCUGUCCUAUCCAGGUGUGUCCCUGAGUUCCCAGGUGUGUCCCAGCCCCACCCAGGUGUGUCCCAGCCCCACCCAGGUGUGUCCCUGUCCCAUUUCUCACCUAUCCAGGUGUGUCCCUCACCUGCCCAGGUGUGUCCCUGAGUUCCCAGGUGUGUCUCUCACCUGUCCAGGUGUAUCCCAGCCCUGCCCAGGUGUGUCCCAGCCCCACCCAGGUGUGUCCCUCACCUGUCCAGGUGUGUCCCUGCCCCACCCAGAUGUGUCCCAGCCCUAUCCAGGUGUGUCCCUGUCCCAUUUCUCACCUGUCCAGGUGUGUCCCAGCCCCGCCCAGGUGUGUCCCUCACCCACCCAGGUGUGUCCCAGCCCCGCCCAGGUGUGUCCCUGCCCCACCCAGGUGUGUCCCUGUCCUAUCCAGGUGUGUCCCUGCCCCACCCAGGUGUGUCCCCGUCCCUUUUCUCAUCUGUCCAUGGCGUAGCCGGUCCGGCAGGUGCAGGUGAAGCCCCCAGGUGUGUCCCUGCCCCACCCAGAUGUGUCCCAGCCCUAUCCAGGUGUGUCCCUGCCCCGCCCAGGUGUGUCCCUGAGUUUCCAGGUGCGUCCCUGUCCCAUUUCUCACCCAC